This 465-nucleotide ribosomal RNA is filed under the name Vreelandella stevensii. RNAcentral's name for it is "partial 16S ribosomal RNA". It matches the Rfam family "Bacterial small subunit ribosomal RNA", at positions 338 to 795 of the family's 1533-position model. The record is from RNAcentral. Lineage: Bacteria; Pseudomonadati; Pseudomonadota; Gammaproteobacteria; Oceanospirillales; Halomonadaceae.
CCCACGGGUGGCUGCAGUGGGGAAUAUUGGACAAUGGGGGCAACCCUGAUCCAGCCAUGCCGCGUGUGUGAAGAAGGCCCUCGGGUUGUAAAGCACUUUCAGUGAGGAAGAACGCCUGGUGGUUAAUACCCAUCAGGAAAGACAUCACUCACAGAAGAAGCACCGGCUAACUCCGUGCCAGCAGCCGCGGUAAUACGGAGGGUGCGAGCGUUAAUCGGAAUUACUGGGCGUAAAGCGCGCGUAGGUGGCUUGAUAAGCCGGUUGUGAAAGCCCCGGGCUCAACCUGGGAACGGCAUCCGGAACUGUCAAGCUAGAGUGCAGGAGAGGAAGGUAGAAUUCCCGGUGUAGCGGUGAAAUGCGUAGAGAGCGGGAGGAAUACCAGUGGCGAAGGCGGCCUUCUGGACUGACACUGACACUGAGGUGCGAAAGCGUGGGUAGCAAACAGGAUUAUAUACCCCGGUAGUC